This 488-nucleotide ribosomal RNA is filed under the name uncultured bacterium. Its description in RNAcentral is "bacterial SSU rRNA". It matches the Rfam family "Bacterial small subunit ribosomal RNA", at positions 21 to 507 of the family's 1533-position model. The record is from RNAcentral.
GGCUCAGAUUGAACGCUGGCGGCAUGCCUUACACAUGCAAGUCGAACGGCAGCACGGGGCAACCUGGUGGCGAGUGGCGAACGGGUGAGUAAUGCAUCGGAACGUGCCAUUGAGUGGGGAUAACGUAGCGAAAGUUGCGCUAAUACCGCAUAUUCUGUGAGCAGGAAAGCAGGGGACCGCAAGGCCUUGCGCUCUUUGAGCGGCCGAUGUCAGAUUAGCUAGUUGGUGAGGUAACGGCUUACCAAGGCGACGAUCUGUAGCGGGUCUGAGAGGAUGAUCCGCCACACUGGAACUGAGACACGGCCCAGACUCCUACGGGAGGCAGCAGUGGGGAAUUUUGGACAAUGGGCGCAAGCCUGAUCCAGCCAUGCCGCGUGAGUGAAGAAGGCCUUCGGGUUGUAAAGCUCUUUCGGCCGGGAAGAAAUCGCAUGGGUUAAUACCCUGUGUGGAUGACGGUACCGGAAUAAGAAGCACCGGCUAACUACGUG